AUGCGGAUAGAAAUGCGGUUGUGGUGUCCGUAGAGAGAGGCGUUGGUGUUUAUUUUGGUCCCACUUUCGAUUCUGCGGGGAACGAAGCGAGACGACGAGAAGGACUAAGGAAGAGCAACUAGGAGGAGGUAGAUUUUGUAAAACUAGAGGCUAUGGCGUCUAUUUGCCUCUCAAUUUGCUCGACCUCGAAACCCUUAGUGGUGCC
RNAcentral lists this unclassified non-coding RNA (205 nucleotides) under Hevea brasiliensis (rubber tree). The record is from RNAcentral. Lineage: Eukaryota; Viridiplantae; Streptophyta; Magnoliopsida; Malpighiales; Euphorbiaceae.